UACGGGGGGAGCAAGCGUUGUUCGGAUUUACUGGGCGUAAAGGGCGCGUAGGCGGCGUGACAAGUCACUUGUGAAAUCUCCGGGCUUAACUCGGAACGGUCAAGUGAUACUGUCGUGCUAGAGUACAGAAGGGGCAACUGGAAUUCUCGGUGUAGCGGUGAAAUGCGUAGAUAUCGGAAGGAACACCAGUGGCGAAAGCGGCUUCCUGGUCCGACACCGACGUUCAGGCACGAAAGCGUGGGGAGCAAACAGG
This 253-nucleotide ribosomal RNA is filed under the name uncultured bacterium. RNAcentral describes it as "partial 16S ribosomal RNA". It matches the Rfam family "Bacterial small subunit ribosomal RNA", at positions 524 to 776 of the family's 1533-position model. The record is from RNAcentral.